Molecule: ribosomal RNA, 481 nt
Filed under: uncultured bacterium
Lineage: Bacteria
Description: partial 16S ribosomal RNA
Rfam family: Bacterial small subunit ribosomal RNA
Source: RNAcentral
ACGAACGCUGGCGGCGUGCCUAACCCAUGCAAGUCGAACGGAACUGUUUUGAAAGAUUUCUUCGGAAUGAAUUUGAUUUAGUUUAGUGGCGGACGGGUGAGUAACGCGUGAGUAACCUGCCUUCAAGAGGGGAAUAACAUUCUGAAAAGAAUGCUAAUACCGCAUGACAUAUCGGAACCACAUGGUUUUGAUAUCAAAGAUUUUAUCGCUUGAAGAUGGACUCGCGUCCGAUUAGUUAGUUGGUGAGGUAACGGCUCACCAAGACCGCGAUCGGUAGCCGGACUGAGAGGUUGAACGGCCACAUUGGGACUGAGACACGGCCCAGACUCCUACGGGAGGCAGCAGUGGGGGAUAUUGCGCAAUGGGGGCAACCCUGACGCAGCAACGCCGCGUGAAGGAUGAAGGUUUUCGGAUUGUAAACUUCUUUUAUUAAGGACGAAAAAUGACGGUACUUAAUGAAUAAGCUCCGGCUAACUACGUG